GACGAACGCUGGCGGCGUGCUUAACACAUGCAAGUCGAACGGAAAGGCCCUGCUUUUGUGGGGUGCUCGAGUGGCGAACGGGUGAGUAACACGUGAGUAACCUGCCCUUGACUUUGGGAUAACUUCAGGAAACUGGGGCUAAUACCGGAUAGGAGCUCCUGCUGCAUGGUGGGGGUUGGAAAGUUUCGGCGGUUGGGGAUGGACUCGCGGCUUAUCAGCUUGUUGGUGGGGUAGUGGCUUACCAAGGCUUUGACGGGUAGCCGGCCUGGGAGGGUGGCCGGCCACAUUGGGACUGAGAUACGGCCCAGACUCCUACGGGAGGCAGCGGUGGGGAAUAUUGCACAAUGGGCGGAAGCCUGAUGCGGCAACGCCGCGUGCGGGAUGACGGCCUUCGGGUUGUAAACCGCUUUCGCCUGUGACGAAGCGUGAGUGACGGUAAUGGGUAAAGAAGCACCGGCUAACUACGUG
Molecule: ribosomal RNA, 468 nt
Filed under: uncultured bacterium
Lineage: Bacteria
Description: partial 16S ribosomal RNA
Rfam family: Bacterial small subunit ribosomal RNA
Source: RNAcentral